This 72-nucleotide transfer RNA is filed under the name Deltaproteobacteria bacterium. Its description in RNAcentral is "tRNA-Cys". It matches the Rfam family "tRNA". From Rfam's summary of the family: Transfer RNA (tRNA) molecules are approximately 80 nucleotides in length. Their secondary structure includes four short double-helical elements and three loops (D, anti-codon, and T loops). The record is from RNAcentral. Lineage: Bacteria; Pseudomonadati; Myxococcota; Myxococcia. RNAcentral also lists the same sequence under 1 other name.
GGCGGCGUGGCCGAGUGGUUCAGGCAGAGGUCUGCAAAACCUCUUACUCCGGUUCAAUUCCGGACGCCGCCU